CCGACAAGCAGCGGAGCAUGUGGUUUAAUUCGACGCAACGCGCAGAACCUUACCUAGGCUUGACAUCCCGGGAAUUUGCUGGAAACAGUGAAGUGCUUUCAUUAGAAAGAGCCCGGUGACAGGUGCUGCAUGGCUGUCGUCAGCUCGUGUCGUGAGAUGUUGGGUUAAGUCCCGCAACGAGCGCAACCCUCGCCUUUAGUUGCCAGCAUUCAGUUGGGCACUCUAAAGGGACUGCCGGUGUCAAACCGGAGGAAGGUGGGAUGACGUCAAGUCCUCAUGGCCUUUAUGUCUAGGGCUACACACGUACUACAAUGGCAGGUACAAAGGGCAGCGGCACAGCGAUGUGAUGCGAAUCCCGAAAAGCCUGUCUCAGUCCGGAUCGGAGUCUGCAACUCGACUCCGUGAACGCGGAAUCGCUAGUAAUCGUGGAUCAGCCAUGCCACGGUGAAUACGUUCCCGGGCCUU
RNAcentral lists this ribosomal RNA (465 nucleotides) under uncultured Desulfovibrio sp. RNAcentral describes it as "bacterial SSU rRNA". It matches the Rfam family "Bacterial small subunit ribosomal RNA", at positions 921 to 1382 of the family's 1533-position model. Lineage: Bacteria; Pseudomonadati; Thermodesulfobacteriota; Desulfovibrionia; Desulfovibrionales; Desulfovibrionaceae. The record is from RNAcentral.